This is a long non-coding RNA of Sarcophilus harrisii (Tasmanian devil), 2895 nucleotides long. Lineage: Eukaryota; Metazoa; Chordata; Mammalia; Dasyuromorphia; Dasyuridae. The record is from Ensembl.
UCCCUAUUCAAUUCUUAUUAUUCUUGGUUUUCCAGAGUUACAUCGCCCUCUCAGUUAUACAGGGUCAUGGGAACCUGCCGUUCUUAUAGUUACUUCUUUAAGUGAAUGACUUCUCCCUGCUGCCGUCUUUAAUGCUCCCUAUGUUGUGGGACUGGGCUGAAUGUGUACAUCCUUAUGAAAGCAUAAAACAUCCAUCAUAUAAUGGUGGAUAGAGGACAGAGCAUAGGAUUUGGGUGCAGAAGACAGGUUGAAAUCCUGCUUUGGAUACUACAUCAAGCCAGUGAAGAUUUCCUAGGCACUUAUAAUGUGCCAGACACACCAGGCUUGGGACUAAGUGUUGGGAAGAUGAGCAGAAAGAAAUACAGUGGGGGCUUCCAUGGUAGGGGGUUCCAGGACCCAUAAAAGGCAGCUAAAGGGAGAGGAGAGAGGGACCAAGAAAACAGUGGCUGGGGCAUGAUAGAGGAAGUCAAUGUAGCACAGCUGGGAUGGGAAUGAGACCUUCAUGGCCUCUCUGCUUUAAGUGGAAGCUCUAAGAGACACCGACCACUCUAGGGGUAGGAGGCUUGUAGCAGGGUAAUUCCAGGGCCAGAGUGAGGUCUUUUUUGUGGUCCUACUGCUCUCGGAUGAUCCCCCUUUGCUAUUUCUGUGUGGUUCUUCCUCCCUAAUGGAUCUAUGACACGUUCUCAUCUGCUUUGGAGCAGUCCUUAACUUUAAUUCUUUAGAGUUUGUGGCAUUUGACAAUUGGGAACCCACAGCAGCUAAUUAGAUUGGAUAAAAGGGAAUGGAAAGGGCUGGGGCCUUCCUGGGGGGUGUGGAGGUGGGGUGGGGAAUGCCAGCAGGAGAAGGCCAGAAUGGGGACUGAGGUUCAUGGGUAAAAGUCAGGAUGGGGGGUUGGUGGUUAUCCAGGCAGAAUAAGAGAUCACACAAAAUGACUACAAGGGCAAGGGAGGUGGGCAAUGGUGGGCACCAAUGGCAUCCCCCAAUGCUGAGGGAUGUGGGCCCCAAUGGCAUCCCCCCAAUGCUGAGGGAUGUAGGCACACCAACAGCAUCCUCCCAAUGCUGAGGGAUGUGGGCACCAACGGCAUCCCCUAGUGCAGAGUGAUGGGGUAGAGGGCAUUAUCAGAGGGUCUAGAGAAGCUCAUGGUCAGUUUGAUGGUGCUGCAGACAGAGCACGCAACCUGGAAUCAGGAGGGCCUGAGUUCCAACGUGGGCUCGGCCACUUUCUAGCUGUGUGAUACUGGGCAAAUCACUUAACCCUGAUGGUCUCAGUUUUCUCAUCUGUAAAAUAGGCUGGAGAAGGAAAUGGUCAGCCUUUCAGUAUAUUUGCCAAGGAGAUCUCAAACCUGGGCACGGAGAGUCAGACAUGACUGAAAAACAACUGAGCGACCCCAGGUUUAUGCAGCAUGAGAAGGCUUGGGUUGGUGGUGAGCUUCACUGUUGGAGGGAAUGCCCACAUCACUGCUGCCCACGAAGCCACCGAAACAUGGGAACUCUGAAAACUCUUGUAACCUAGAGGUAACUCUGGGGAAAGGCCUUUGAAGUGACCCUGUGGGGCCCGGGGCCCAUGGCACGGUGGACUGGAAGCUCUUCCCGCUGAACACUAGUCAGACCAUGUUUAGAACAGGAGGGACCCAGAGAUCCAACUCCCUUAUUUUAGAAACGAGGAAGCUAAGUUCCAGAGGGGUGAUGGGUUGCCCACUGGCACCCAGGUGUGAUGGGCAGAAUUCGAAUAGGAAGCCAGCCUGGAUCUGGAGCCAAAGCCCGAAUGCCCCCAUUCCAGGGGCCUGCAGUGAGUUGUUGCUUGUGCUGGGCCCCGGAGGGCCCCCAUGCAUUUCCACAGGACAGAUGCACCCAGAGGCGCCCAGGGUGAGGGGCACGGACUCAUGGUGUGUGUGUGUGUGUGUGUGGGGGAGACCUCGUGCCACUGAGGCCGGCAGGAUGCCCGCUCUCAGCCUGAGACUGAAGGGGGAGGGGGAUGUUGAGGGGGCGGGCCUGAGAGAGUCCUUUUGCUCUCCCCUGGGAGUGGGAAACUUCUUGAUUUUCUUUCGCUGCUUCCCCAGCCCCUUUGGGCCCCGUUUCCGGGCCUUCUUUGUUUUCUUUUUCAUUUCAGCGCAUGUUACUCCUGCCCUUCCCCUCCCCUCCCCAGCCAUGCUUUCAUUUCAUCUGUUCCUUCAGUGUGAGCUGUGCCUCCCAGAGAGAACACGACAGACACCCCGUGGGUUGCGGGGGGGCGGGGGGGUCUCUCUGGCUGCGUGCUCAGCCUUGGAAGCUUCCAGAAGGGACCCCCCCCCCUCCCCGCUUCCCAGGACCACCAAGUUCUCUUGGACCAGCCAGCCUCGCUUCCCGUGCCCAGGAGGCUUCCCAGAGCGAAGCCUGUCAGUUUUCUUCCUCCGGCCGCUACAAUGUAUCUGAGAAGCCGCAGGACCUUCACCUCUCUUCUCCGCCCCUCCCCCCCACUAAAGCCGAAGGGUUCCCCCUGCUGGUCGCUGGGGCUGCAGGGGAUGCUAGGACGGCAUGGCUACUCGUGACCCACUGGGGGAGGGGGGGGCGGGUGCUGGGUUCCAGAAGCCUCAGUUUCCUCAAAUGUCAAAAGGGUCCGCCGACGUCACGGGGCGCGCGACCCUGGGGCCCUGUGAAGUCACUUCCGUGUCCCAGCCUCGACCGGUGCAUCUGUGAAGUGGGCGGGCACCUCCCGAGGCAGCCGGUCUCCUCGGUUCCACCUUAGCAAAGCUCGUUCCGGGCUCUGGAACCCGGGGUUGGGAACCCUCAGAGAGAAGCUGCUCAGUCUCGGGGACUUCCCCGCCUCGGCUCCUCUGCGCCUGCGCCAGGAUGACCAGCGUCCCGAGGGGAGGGGCAGGGUGGAAGAGGCUGGGGCGGGGCCUCCCUCGACUUCCC